AACGAACGCUGGCGGCAUGCCUAACACAUGCAAGUCGAACGAGACCUUCGGGUCUAGUGGCGCACGGGUGCGUAACGCGUGGGAACCUGCCCUUAGGUUCGGAAUAACUCCCCGAAAGGGGUGCUAAUACCGGAUAAUGUCUUCGGACCAAAGAUUUAUCGCCUUUGGAUGGGCCCGCGUUGGAUUAGCUAGUUGGUAGGGUAAAAGCCUACCAAGGCGACGAUCCAUAGCUGGUCUGAGAGGAUGAUCAGCCACACUGGGACUGAGACACGGCCCAGACUCCUACGGGAGGCAGCAGUGGGGAAUAUUGGACAAGGGGCGAAGGCCUGAUCCAGCAAUGCCGCGUGAGUGAUGAAGGCGUUAGGGUUGUAAAGCUCUUUUACCCGGGAUGAUAAUGACAGUACCGGGAGAAUAAGCUCCGGCUAACUCCGUG
RNAcentral lists this ribosomal RNA (433 nucleotides) under uncultured bacterium. RNAcentral describes it as "partial 16S ribosomal RNA". It matches the Rfam family "Bacterial small subunit ribosomal RNA", at positions 29 to 507 of the family's 1533-position model. The record is from RNAcentral.